This 504-nucleotide ribosomal RNA is filed under the name uncultured bacterium. Its description in RNAcentral is "partial 16S ribosomal RNA". It matches the Rfam family "Bacterial small subunit ribosomal RNA", at positions 28 to 523 of the family's 1533-position model. The record is from RNAcentral.
GGUGAACGCUGGCGGCAGGCCUAACACAUGCAAGUCGGACGGUAGCACAGAGAGCUUGCUCUCGGGUGACGAGUGGCGGACGGGUGAGUAAUGUCUGGGGAUCUGCCCGAUAGAGGGGGAUAACCACUGGAAACGGUGGCUAAUACCGCAUAACGUCGCAAGACCAAAGAGGGGGACCUUCGGGCCUCUCACUAUCGGAUGAACCCAGAUGGGAUUAGCUAGUAGGCGGGGUAACGGCCCACCUAGGCGACGAUCCCUAGCUGGUCUGAGAGGAUGACCAGCCACACUGGAACUGAGACACGGUCCAGACUCCUACGGGAGGCAGCGGUGGGGAAUAUUGCACAAUGGGCGCAAGCCUGAUGCAGCCAUGCCGCGUGUAUGAAGAAGGCCUUCGGGUUGUAAAGUACUUUCAGCGGGGAGGAAGGCGAUGUGGUUAAUAACCGCAUUGAUUGACGUUACCCGCAGAAGAAGCACCGGCUAACUCCGUGCCAGCCGCCGCCGUAA